Long non-coding RNA from Myotis lucifugus (little brown bat), 550 nucleotides. RefSeq lists it as uncharacterized. Lineage: Eukaryota; Metazoa; Chordata; Mammalia; Chiroptera; Vespertilionidae. The record is from RefSeq and is a predicted model, not a curated record. The transcript is spliced from 3 exons.
UCGCAGGUCGCCUGGUGGGAGCCCUGGACGCGGUGCUGGACUCCAGCGCACGGGCGGCUCCGUUCCGGAUCCUGCUCCAGGUGCCCGGGUCCCAGGUCUGCUCUCCGAUCGCGUGCGGGGCGACGCUGGAGGAGGUGGAGCAGCACUGGGACUGGCUGGAGCAGAACCUGCUGCACACCCUGUCCGUCUUCGACAGCAAGGAGGACAUCGCCAGCUUCGUCAAAGGGAAGGUGAAGUUGCAACAUCUUGUGACUAUUUUGUUGGGCGUCACACUUUCCUCCUUCUAAAAGUGGAUACUUAUUCUGAAAAUACACACAUUGAAUGGAUGCAAAGCCAAUUAAGUUUUGAGAUGGCAAGAGAGCCGGAUGGGGCAGUACCUGGCUUUCGGAGAGUUUCUGUCGCUGUCUCCUGUGAAACACCCCUCACAUCACUGCUCUCACAGUAACAUGGCCGGUAGCCAUUGUUUUAAUAACCCGACCAGGCAGAGAAAUGGUUUCUUAUUCAAAAUUUUACUCUUUUUAAAAAAUAUAUAUUUUUAUUGAUUUCAUAG